Molecule: ribosomal RNA, 428 nt
Filed under: uncultured bacterium
Lineage: Bacteria
Description: bacterial SSU rRNA
Rfam family: Bacterial small subunit ribosomal RNA
Source: RNAcentral
UGGGGAAUAUUGGACAAUGGGCGAAAGCCUGAUCCAGCAAUGCCGCGUGUGUGAAGAAGGCCUGCGGGUUGUAAAGCACUUUCAGUAGCGAAGAAAAGCCGGCGGUUAAUACCCGACCGGUCUUGACGUAACCUACAGAAGAAGCACCGGCUAACUCCGUGCCAGCAGCCGCGGUAAUACGGAGGGUGCAAGCGUUAAUCGGAAUUACUGGGCGUAAAGCGCGCGUAGGUGGUUGGGUAAGUCAAAUGUGAAAGCCCCGGGCUUAACCUGGGAAUUGCAUUCGAUACUGCUUAACUAGAGUGUGGGAGAGGGAAGUGGAAUUUCCGGUGUAGCGGUGAAAUGCGUAGAUAUCGGAAGGAACACCAGUGGCGAAGGCGACUUCCUGGCCCAACACUGACACUGAGGCGCGAAAGCGUGGGUAGCAAACA